CCCUUAGAUGUUCUGGGCCGCACGCGCGCUACACUGAUGCAUUCAACGAGUCUAAAACCUGCUCUGAUAGGGGUGGGUAAUCUUUUGAAUGUGCAUCGUGAUUGGGAUAGAUGAUUGCAAUUUUUCAUCUUCAACGAGGAAUGCCUAGUAAACGCAAGUCAUCAGCUUGCAUUGAUUACGUCCCUGCCCUUUGUACACACCGCCCGUCGCUCCUACCGAUUGAAUGAUCCGAUGAAUAUCAUGGAUUGAGGAUGCAAGUAGGUUAGCCUAUCUUCAUCUUCGAGAAGUGAAGUAAAUCUUAUCAUUUAGAGGAAGGAGAAGUCGUAAC
Molecule: ribosomal RNA, 328 nt
Filed under: uncultured eukaryote
Lineage: Eukaryota
Description: partial 18S ribosomal RNA
Rfam family: Eukaryotic small subunit ribosomal RNA
Source: RNAcentral